AUUAAAAACCAAUGCCCUUCGGGGCUCUCUGGUGAUUCAUAAUAACUUCUCGAAUCGCACGGCCUUGUGCCGGCGAUGGUUCAUUCAAAUUUCUGCCCUAUCAACUUUCGACGGCUGGGUCUUGGCCAGCCGUGGUGACGACGGGUAACGGAGGGUUAGGGCUCGACCCCGGAGAAGGAGCCUGAGAAACGGCUACUACAUCCAAGGAAGGCAGCAGGCGCGCAAAUUACCCAAUCCCGACACGGGGAGGUAGUGACAAUAAAUACUGAUACAGGGCUCUUUCGGGUCUUGUAAUUGGAAUGAGUACAAUUUAAAUCCCUUAACGAGGAACAAUUGGAGGGCAAGUCUGGUGCCAGCAGCCGCGGUAAUUCCAGCUCCAAUAGCGUAUAUUAAAGUUGUUGAGGUUAAAAAGCUCGUAGUUGAACCUUGGGCCUAGCCGGCCGGUCCGCCUCACCGCGUGCACUGGCUCGGCUGGGUCUUUCCUUCUGGAGAACCGCAUGCCCUUCACUGGGUGUGCC
Molecule: ribosomal RNA, 518 nt
Filed under: uncultured fungus
Lineage: Eukaryota; Fungi
Description: SSU rRNA
Rfam family: Eukaryotic small subunit ribosomal RNA
Source: RNAcentral